UUGUUAUUUAUAUUAAAAUAAUUGCAGAUAUGACACUGUUGGUUUUAAGCAGGAACCUAAAGAGAUUUGUUUCAAUGGUCUGUUGGCCAUUUCAGAACUUGGGCAGUGAAAAUGGUCAAACAGGUUGAGGCAAACCCAA
This 139-nucleotide small nucleolar RNA is filed under the name Cavia porcellus (domestic guinea pig). The record is from RNAcentral. Lineage: Eukaryota; Metazoa; Chordata; Mammalia; Rodentia; Caviidae.